UCCCUGGUGGUCUAGUGGUUAGGACUCCACACUUUCACUGCCAUGACCUGGGUUCAACCCCUGGUUGGGGAA
Molecule: transfer RNA, 72 nt
Filed under: Ovis aries (sheep)
Lineage: Eukaryota; Metazoa; Chordata; Mammalia; Artiodactyla; Bovidae
Rfam family: tRNA
About the family: Transfer RNA (tRNA) molecules are approximately 80 nucleotides in length. Their secondary structure includes four short double-helical elements and three loops (D, anti-codon, and T loops). Further hydrogen bonds mediate the characteristic L-shaped molecular structure. tRNAs have two regions of fundamental functional importance: the anti-codon, which is responsible for specific mRNA codon recognition, and the 3' end, to which the tRNAs corresponding amino acid is attached (by aminoacyl-tRNA synthetases). tRNAs cope with the degeneracy of the genetic code in two manners: having more than one tRNA (with a specific anti-codon) for a particular amino acid; and 'wobble' base-pairing, i.e. permitting non-standard base-pairing at the 3rd anti-codon position.
Source: Rfam by way of RNAcentral